AGCAUGGUCAUUGGUGGCUAGAAUUUGGAUCAGGAGUAUUAGUAGGAUAUUGGCCAUCAUUUUUAUUUACACACCUUAGAGGUUCAGCAAGUAUGAUACAAUUUGGAGGUGAAAUAGUGAACAGUAGAGGGAAUGGAUUUCACACAUCAACACAAAUGGGAAGUGGACAUUUUGCUGGUGAAGGUUUUGGGAAAGCAUCUUAUUUUAGGAAUUUACAAGUGGUGGAUUGGGAUAAUAGUUUAAUACCAUUGUCUAAUCUCAAAGUAUUAGCUGAUCAUUCUAAUUGUUAUGAUAUUCAAGGAGGGAUUAAUCGUGUUUGGGGUAAUUAUUUUUAUUAUGGGGGACCUGGAAGAAACCAACGUUGUCCUUAAAAGAGGAAAAGACUUGUUCGGUGGACUAAAGCUUUUUCUAUUUAACAAGUCUGAAAAGAUCCUUAAAAGAGAAAAAGAAAGGGACAACAUGGUUUUUUCUUUUCUUUUUUGGUUUCUUAGUUUGGUUGAAGGAUCCAAAGCAUGGUCAUUGGUGGCUAGAAUUUGGAUCAGGAGUAUUAGUAGGAUAUUGGCCAUCAUUUUUAUUUACACACCUUAGAGGUUCAGCAAGUAUGAUACAAUUUGGAGGUGAAAUAGUGAACAGUAGAGGGAAUGGAUUUCACACAUCAACACAAAUGGGAAGUGGACAUUUUGCUGGUGAAGGUUUUGGGAAAGCAUCUUAUUUUAGGAAUUUACAAGUGGUGGAUUGGGAUAAUAGUUUAAUACCAUUGUCUAAUCUCAAAGUAUUAGCUGAUCAUUCUAAUUGUUAUGAUAUUCAAGGAGGGAUUAAUCGUGUUUGGGGUAAUUAUUUUUAUUAUGGGGGAC
This 854-nucleotide long non-coding RNA is filed under the name Capsicum annuum. RNAcentral describes it as "long non-coding RNA (CANN_LNC017547)". Lineage: Eukaryota; Viridiplantae; Streptophyta; Magnoliopsida; Solanales; Solanaceae. The record is from RNAcentral.